CUUGACCGACCCCAGCCACAGCGGGCGGUCCCGGUCCUGCCCGUAGGUCGCCAGCAACGCCUCGGCCUC
RNAcentral lists this antisense RNA (69 nucleotides) under Labedaea rhizosphaerae. RNAcentral describes it as "Labedella sp. RS-49 ASpks TB sRNA". It matches the Rfam family "ASpks TB sRNA". Lineage: Bacteria; Bacillati; Actinomycetota; Actinomycetes; Pseudonocardiales; Pseudonocardiaceae. The record is from Rfam by way of RNAcentral.